UCCGGUUUGACACCGGCAGUCCCCUUAGAGUCCUCGGCAUAACCCGUUAGUAACUAAGGGCAAAGGUUUCGCUCGUUAAGGGACUUAACCCGACAUCUCACGACACGAGCUGACGACAGCCAUGCAGCACCUGUACUAGUUGUACCCCGAAGGGCCUACUCCGCUUUCACGGAGAUAAUCCUAGCAUGUCAAGCCCAGGUAAGGUUCUGCGCGUUGCUUCGAAUUGAACCACAUGCUCCACCGCUUGUGUGAGCCCCCGUCAAUUCCUUUGAGUUUUAGCCUUGCGACCGUACUUCCCAGGCGGUCCACUUAGCACUUUUGCUUCGACCAUAAUUACGUCAGAGCAACUACGAUCUAGUGGACAUCGUUUAGGGCCAGGACUAC
Molecule: unclassified non-coding RNA, 384 nt
Filed under: uncultured Tepidisphaerales bacterium
Lineage: Bacteria; Pseudomonadati; Planctomycetota; Phycisphaerae; Tepidisphaerales
Description: contains 16S-23S intergenic spacer region
Source: RNAcentral